AUUAGAUACCCUAUUAUUUUUAUUGUAAAAAGAUCUAGGCCUGAGUAUUAAUUGGUAUAUUCUUUAAACUUAAAGAAUUUGGCGGUAUUAUAGUCUAUUUAGAGGAAUCUGUUAUUUAAUCGAUAAUCCGCGUUGAACCUUACUUAUAUUAAUUUCUUGUAUACCGCUGUUUAAGAAUAUAUUUUUAGAUUAUUUUCUGGAUUACUAUAUUACUAUAUUGUAAAUAUUUCAAGUCAAGGUGCAGUAUUUAUAAGUUUAAUAAUGGAUUACAAUAAUUUUUAUUUAUAUGGAUGUUUAUUGUAAUAUAGAUUGAAGGUGGAUUUAAUUGUAAAUUUAUUAAGAUUAAUUUUUUGAUUUAUAGCUCUAUAAUAUGCACACAUCGCCCG
Molecule: ribosomal RNA, 386 nt
Filed under: Hagiomantis superba
Lineage: Eukaryota; Metazoa; Arthropoda; Insecta; Mantodea; Liturgusidae
Description: partial 12S ribosomal RNA
Source: RNAcentral